GGGUCGGUAGCUCAGCCGGUUAGAGCGUUUGCCUCUUAAGCAAAAUGUCGUGGGUUCGAUCCCCACCCGACUCAC
Molecule: transfer RNA, 75 nt
Filed under: Patescibacteria group bacterium
Lineage: Bacteria
Description: tRNA-Lys
Rfam family: tRNA
About the family: Transfer RNA (tRNA) molecules are approximately 80 nucleotides in length.
Source: RNAcentral